GGUUCGACUCCGGAGAGGGAGCCUGAGAAACGGCUACCACAUCCAAGGAAGGCAGCAGGCGCGCAAAUUACCCACUCUCGGCACGAGGAGGUAGUGACGAAAAAUAACGAGACGGAUCUCUUUGAGGCCCGUUAUCGGAAUGAGAACAAUUCAAAUCCUUUAACGAGGUUCUAGCGGAGGGCAAGUCUGGUGCCAGCAGCCGCGGUAAUUCCAGCUCCGCAGGUGUAUAUCUAUGCUGCUGCGGUUAAAAAGCUCGUAGUUGGAUCUGCGUGCUCGGAACUGGUUGGCUCACUGAGUUCAAACUGGUCUCCGGCGCUUUAUUGGCCGGUUUUCCCUUGAUGCUCUUAACCGGGUGUCUUGGGUGGCUAGCACGUUUACUUUGAAAAAAUUAGAGUGCUCAAUACAGGCGUAAAGCCUUGAAUAGUGGUGCAUGGAAUAAUAGAAUAGGACCUCGGCUCUAUUUUGUUGGUUUUCGGAACGCGAGGUAAUGAUUAAGAGGGACAGACGGGGGCAUUCGUAUUGCGACGUUAGAGGUGAAAUUCUUGGAUCGUCGCAAGACGGACGACUGCGAAAGCAUUUGCCAAGAAUGUUUUCAUUAAUCAAGAACGAAAGUUAGAGGUACGAAGGCGAUCAGAUACCGCCCUAGUUCUAACCGUAAACGAUGCCAACUAGCGAUUCGCAGGCGUUAAACAACGACCUUGCGGGCAGCUUCCCGGAAACGAAAGUGUUCGGGUUCCGGGGGAAGUAUGGUUGCAAAGCUGAAACUUAAAGGAAUUGACGGAAGGGCACCACCAGGAGUGGAGCCUGCGGCUUAAUUUGACCCAACACGGGAAAACUCACCCGGCCCGGACACCGUAAGGAUUGACAGAUUGAGAGCUCUUUCUUGAUACGGUGGGUGGUGGUGCAUGGCCGUUCUUAGUUGGUGGAGCGAUUUGUCUGGUUUAUUCCGAUAACGAACGAGACUCUGGCCUACUAAAUAGUGGGCGGAUUCUUUCUGUCCGCAACACUUCUUAGAGGGACAAGCGGUGUUCAGCCGCACGAGAUUGAGCAAUAACAGGUCUGUGAUGCCCUUAGAUGUCCGGGGCUGCACGCGCGCUACACUGAAGGAAUCAGCGUGCUUUCUGACCUUGCCCGAAAGGGCUGGGUAACCCGAUGAAAAUCCUUCGUGAUUGGGAUAGGGACUUGCAAUUAUUUCCCUUGAACGAGGAAUUCCCAGUAAGUGUGGGUCAUAAGCUCGCGUUGAUUACGUCCCUGCCCUUUGUACACACCGCCCGUCGCUGCCCGGAACUGAGCCGUUUCGAGAAGAACAGGGACCGUCGUUGAAGGGCCUUAACGGGCUUUUCUCUGAUAGAAACUGUUUUAAUCGCAGUGGCUUGAACCGGGCAAAAGUCGUAACAAGGUU
This 1402-nucleotide ribosomal RNA is filed under the name metagenome. Its description in RNAcentral is "SSU rRNA". It matches the Rfam family "Eukaryotic small subunit ribosomal RNA", at positions 374 to 1801 of the family's 1831-position model. The record is from RNAcentral.